GGGGAAUUUUGGACAAUGGGCGAAAGCCUGAUCCAGCAAUGCCGCGUGUGUGAAGAAGGCCUUCGGGUUGUAAAGCACUUUUGUCCGGAAAGAAAUCCUCUGGGUUAAUACCUCGGGGGAUGACGGUACCGGAAGAAUAAGCACCGGCUAACUACGUGCCAGCAGCCGCGGUAAUACGUAGGGUGCAAGCGUUAAUCGGAAUUAUUGGGCGUAAAGCGUGCGCAGGCGGUUUUGUAAGACGGAUGUGAAAUCCCCGGGCUUAACCUGGGAACUGCAUUCGUGACUGAAAGGCUAGAGUAUGGCAGAGGGGGGUAGAAUUCCACGUGUAGCAGUGAAAUGCGUAGAGAUGUGGAGGAAUACCGAUGGCGAAGGCAGCCCCCUGGGCCAAUACUGACGCUCAUGCACGAAAGCGUGGGGAGCAAA
Molecule: ribosomal RNA, 423 nt
Filed under: uncultured bacterium
Lineage: Bacteria
Description: bacterial SSU rRNA
Rfam family: Bacterial small subunit ribosomal RNA
Source: RNAcentral